Molecule: long non-coding RNA, 1702 nt
Organism: Cygnus atratus (black swan)
Lineage: Eukaryota; Metazoa; Chordata; Aves; Anseriformes; Anatidae
Exons: 3
Source: RefSeq, a predicted model, not a curated record
GGAGCGAUUUCCCAGGGGGGCAGAGGCAGCCCGGGCUCUCAAUUCCUCCUGCAGCAGAUGGGGAAAGGCUGCGCAUUAGGGAGGGCAGGAGGUGGUGGGGAGUGAUGGAGGGGCCUGCUGGGCCCCGUGGCCUCCUGCUUCCUGCCUCUCCUGUUGCUGGUAGAUGUGGGGCCAGGAUGCUGUGGUAGCUGAAGGCUUCGAUCUAGAGUGGGGGCUGCAACUUGUGCCUGCAAGCAGCCUGGGGUGAAGAACAAACAGGAAUUGUGUCUAUUCCCCAAACCAUUUAAUCAUCCUAAAGCAAAAUGCAAUUUAAACAGGGGGCUUUCUGGCCAUCAUAUUCAUGAGCAAAGAUCAAAAAGUAUCUGAAGAAAGAGUUUAUCUGUUUAUUUAUUUAUUUACCAACAUGGGUAUCCUCAGCUCAGUGCUGAAGAGCUGGCAGCAUCACUGAUCUGAAUGCUGAACUUGGGAAGGCAGCUGGUCCCCCGACAUUUCCUCAUGGGAGGUGACACCAAUUCCUGCGGCAAGCAAGUAGACAUUUUGGAGGAAAAACUGCAGGAAGAGCCCAGAUAAUGCAUACAGCUUAACAGUUGCCUAAAAAAUAAGGACUGGAACCACAAGUGAUGGGACAUGUACCGCUCUCCCCAACUGGACGAGCAUGUGAAGAUUUUCAUCUUGUUGAAUCAUUGCUUUGGUUCGUCAGGCUCAUUUUGAAUUCUCUUCUUGUCUUCAGAGUGUUUGAAAAUCUUCCCAGGGUGAUUCACCUGCAUGUUUUAACACUGCAUGCUCUAAUCUACUUAGCAAACUAUUAACACAGCUGUUGAACAGUCCUGUGCUGAGAGGAGAUCCCUGAUUCCGCAAAGGAAUUGUCCCUGUGUUUGUCAAGGAGCUAUUUUGAAUGCAAACACCGAAAGAGGUAUGCUUCCAGCUUACAAUUAAUUUUAUCCUGCCAUUUUCCUGUUUGCUUAAGAAAAUACCGUGUGUGGCAUAGCACUGAAAUCUGUACUACGGUCACGUUUAACACAUCUCUAUUUUCCCCCUUGCCCAGUAGCUUAGUUAUUCCAGGAAGAAGUAUUGCAUUAAUUUGAAACAGCUUGUUGAUUGCCUGCCUUGUUGUCAUGAGCAGCUUAGCAGUUUAAUGAAUGGAAGUACUUAUACAUAGAUUAUUUAAUCUUCUGUUCCAUUGCCUCUCUGACCUUUGAAGGUAAGCUUGCCAAUCGAAAAAUCACUGCACCUCUGUGGAGUGUGGUAUUCGGGAUGGUGCUACAGAUGUCUCAGCAAUGGUUCAUUAGCUACUUCAGUGAGUUUCUUAAGGAUUACAGGUGCUGGCUACUUGAGUAUCAUGUGAAUUUCCUCCAUCCUACUAUUCCCAUAUUAUGACCUAUGUUCUUCAAAUCCCUUUUAAAAUGAAUACUGGGUCUCAAUUAAGCAAGAGGUGUGGAUGAUGUGACAUGCUCAGUCUUUGCAAUCUGCUGUCUGCUGAAAACAAAAACUUUUGCUAAUGUUAGUCACUGAGUCUGUGUAAACAACAACAAAAAAAAAGAUGGUUUGUCAAAACAAAGAUGUGUUGUGAUUUGAGCUUGGAAAUUUAAUGGGAGACUGUGGUCAUGAGUGCAGUGGUUGCAUUUAGGGGUACAUCAAACGUUGGCUUAUGGGCUCAGGUGGCUUUCAGGAAAGGUCUGUGGGCUAGCCAAGGAAGGACACA